AGCAAAACUUACACAUACUAGAAACAUGUCAUAUUAUAAACACACCGAACACAGUGAACAAGCGCACCGAUACAGACAAUCUGAGCAAUACGUACGCCGGCGUACUACACACUUUAAAAAACAAUACACGAAGCCAGGCCGUCCAACAGGCAAACGAAUCGGUACAACAAGAGUUAACACAAUCAGAGUAAAAGUGGCGCCAAAACGGGCAACUGCAUCGCUGUUCUGCGACCCGGAUAGUUUUUCGGAUAUUUUUCGGAUAUUUUAUCCCAUCCAUCCGCCGGCGGCGGCAGAGUAAGUAAAACCAGACGGAAAGUUUACUUGCGCAGCAUGCUUGCCUGGUACUCAUGUGAAUUCUUGUUGUAGCGAUACGUUACGUCUGGGACAAAUGUGGCCUAUGCUGUGGGCUCAUACUGACGACAAAACGGAGCAUAGUUAAUUCCCAGAAGAAGGCGCAAUAUAGCGACCGAAACGUCGGAUGAAAGCUUAAAAAUCCGUUUUUGAGUUAUUCCUCCAAAGACUGAACGCCAUUCCCCUUCCAACAUAAUCA
Aedes albopictus (Asian tiger mosquito) is the source of this 550-nucleotide long non-coding RNA. RefSeq lists it as uncharacterized. Lineage: Eukaryota; Metazoa; Arthropoda; Insecta; Diptera; Culicidae. The record is from RefSeq and is a predicted model, not a curated record. The transcript has 2 exons.